This is a non-coding RNA of Apaloderma vittatum (bar-tailed trogon), 83 nucleotides long. NCBI's taxonomy places the organism in Eukaryota, Metazoa, Chordata, Aves, Trogoniformes, Trogonidae. The record is from Rfam.
GGUCGGUUAGCUCAGUGGUUUGAGCGUGGUGCUGGCAACAAGGACUAACACUGAGGUCGUGGGUUCGAUUCCCGCUUGGUCCC